This 253-nucleotide ribosomal RNA is filed under the name uncultured bacterium. RNAcentral describes it as "partial 16S ribosomal RNA". It matches the Rfam family "Bacterial small subunit ribosomal RNA", at positions 524 to 776 of the family's 1533-position model. The record is from RNAcentral.
UACGGAGGGUCCGAGCGUUAUCCGGAAUCAUUGGGUUUAAAGGGUCCGCAGGCGGGCCAGUAAGUCAGAGGUGAAAGUUUGCGGCUCAACCGUAAAAUUGCCUUUGAUACUGCUGGUCUUGAGUUACAGUGAAGUGGCUGGAAUAUGUGGUGUAGCGGUGAAAUGCAUAGAGAUCACAUAGAACACCGAUUGCGAAGGCAGGUCACUAACUGUAUACUGACGCUGAUGGACGAAAGCGUGGGGAGCGAACGGG